This 407-nucleotide ribosomal RNA is filed under the name uncultured bacterium. Its description in RNAcentral is "partial 16S ribosomal RNA". It matches the Rfam family "Bacterial small subunit ribosomal RNA", at positions 30 to 526 of the family's 1533-position model. The record is from RNAcentral.
AUUGAACGCUGGCGGCAGGCCUAACACAUGCAAGUCGAGCGGAACGUCGGACGGGUGAUUAAUGCCUAGUAAUCUGCCUGGUAGUGGGGGAUAACGUCCGGAAACGGGCGCUAAUACAGCAUACUAUCAGGUCAGCCUAGGGCGGAUUAGCUGGUUGGUGGGUUAAAGGCCUACCAAGGCGACGAGCCGUAACUGGUCUGAGAGGAUGAUCAGUCACACUGGAACUGAGACACGGCCCAGACUCCUACGGGAGGCAGCAGUGGGGAAUCUUGGACAAUGGGCGAAAGUCUGAUCCAGCCAGGCCGCGUGUGUGAAGAAGGUCGUCGGAUUGUAAAGCACUUUAAGUUGGGAGGCGUUACCAACAGAAUAAGCAACGGCUAACUUCGUGCCAGCAGCCGCGGUAAUUC